Molecule: long non-coding RNA, 947 nt
Organism: Mesocricetus auratus (golden hamster)
Lineage: Eukaryota; Metazoa; Chordata; Mammalia; Rodentia; Cricetidae
Exons: 2
Source: RefSeq, a predicted model, not a curated record
CCCUUCGGGGUCCCCCCUCCGUCCCCAUUCCUGCUCCUGGCUGGCUUUCCUGGCGGGCGCGUCCUCUUAGGAACCUGCUCUGGGACAUCCACCCCCCCCGGGAGGGAGGCCGGGUCCCACUCUGCCCCACCCGGGGGGGGGGUCUGCGAAGCUCGCUGCCCGGUGGGGCGCCUGCUGAACCUGGGAACCAUUGGUGGGGGAAGCAUAGGGUCAAUUCAGGUGGUUGAGGGCGACAAGGCUAUUCCUUCCUCUGGGACUGUUGGGACUCCGGGGCUUGCAAACCUCCCCGCCCCCCAUCAAAAGCUGAUUCUCAUUGAAAUGACACCACGGAGAUCCAUUAAGGCUCGCCCUGAGAUCCCUUUAGCCGGUUCAUUGAGUCUUUGAAAAGCCAGGCACAGAGGAGAGGAGAAAUAACCAUAUUGAAGCUUUUUGCUGUUUUCCUUAAAAUCCCUCCUACAAACUUUAUAGCUUGUGCUUAGUGCUUCCUCUAAGUUUCAGGAAAAUGAAAAGCCCCUGCCCACGCGGGGGUGAAGUGUCUGUAGAGGGCAGGGAAUGGUGGCCAGCAGGAGUCCGCAGAACGAGUGAGCACACUUCCAAGUUUUGCGAGUGCAUGCUAGGUCUUUCUCGCUUGGUUGUUUUUGCAGACAGAGAUUGACAGAGUUGAUUCAGCACCAGCACAGUGCUUGCUCAAGUUCUAGGCGCUUCCAGAAUUUUACAGGCGACUAAAAGGGUUCUGGCAGAAAUUUAAGAAGAGCCCGUUUGCAUCACCUCUAAAUUGUUUCACUCUGGAGCCCAGGCCAGCUUUGAAUUCAUCACCUUCCCACCUAUCAGAGUUCUGGGAUUUCAGGCCUGUGUUCCCCAAGCCCAGCUUUAUAGUUGCUUUCAUUAUUUUUUCUGUACCUAAUCUGUCAUUUUCUUUCAUGUAUUUAUAGUAAAACUGGUGUAUA